Molecule: non-coding RNA, 1581 nt
Organism: Pseudopodoces humilis (Tibetan ground-tit)
Lineage: Eukaryota; Metazoa; Chordata; Aves; Passeriformes; Paridae
Source: RefSeq, a predicted model, not a curated record
CUCUCCAAUGAUGCACAUUUGGUGUCAGAAAAAAUGACACAAAAAAAGCUUAUGUUCCUGGGUUGGGACGAAACAGAAUGACUAUCUCCAGUUAGAGCACCCGAUGCAUCCUACUUCCACUAAAGCAAAAUGUUUCAUCCAUUCCAACAGGGCAACACAACAAGCAGGGAACAGCAUGUAUAAGAGAACAAAGCAGAAAAGCAAGAGGCUGGAGUGCACAGAUAGUAGCAAACAAGCAAACAAACAGACAAAAGGAAAACACAGUCACAAACCCCAGAAAAUGAUAAGGCUGUCUAGUUAACCCCUUUCUAUUGACCUACAGAUUUCUUGAGACAGACAGAUGUGAGACCACCUUCGUCACUAACAUGCUGCUAAUGGAACGGACAUUAAAAUGACCUUCAAGUGACAACUCGCCACCGGAUAACUGUGACAAAUGCAGCCAGAUAGUCAUCUCUACCUUGUCUGCAGACACGAGAUGACAUUCCAUAAUACACUUGUGUCAAAAGAAGGAAAAUGCUGGAUGGUCUUUUUAAUGGGUUUGUCUGUAGCAAAGAGACCCACCGGGGAUCUAAUUUACAGAAGGAGCACUUGACAGAAUGAGCUUAUGAGAGAGCUGUGCGUGCGUGUGCAUGUGUGCCUACUGCAUGGGAAGGCUGCCUCAGGAAAGUGCAUCCAAUUCUGCUUUUACAGGAAAGGUCACCAUAUUCUUGUAAGAUUAUAGCAACUUCCCUUAAAAUUUAUCAUCUUGAACAUUACAACACGAGAAACGACCAGCAGAAGGAGAUUUGAGGAGGAUGGCAGCUGUGUGAGGGAAUGACACAUUUUGGAGAGUGGGGCAAACAUCAGAGUAUUUGAACACAGGCAACUUAUCACAGUGCAGAAGUCUACAUGAGACUUGCUCAGGAUGUCACCGCAGGACCGAAGGGCACAAGAAGAACAGCAAUCAGCUGAAGUGACAGGAAUGACCAAGAUGGAAGAACACAACUCAUUUCAGAUACAGAAAUGUUUAAUGGCGUUAAAGUGCUACUUUAAUGGGGACCAUAUGCUAACAUUUAAACACAAUUCCACUGCACUGCUAAAUAUGGUUGUCUUUAUUUUUUUACUUUAUUUUACCUCUUUUUACCCAACCCUAUCUAAAACAAUAAAAUAAAAUCUAAAGGACUGAAAUUAACAACCCAUUCAAAUCAGCAAUAAGUUAUGAAUUUUAUAAAGCAUUUUUUUCCUCUUUUUUUUUCUUAGUAUGAGGGGUAAUUAAAUUACUUAAGGAUAUACAAAGUAUCAAACAAUGCCAUAGGUGAAGACUCUAUUAUGGUUUUUAAAACUUGGAAAACAAAAUAAUCCUGGCCAUUAAAAUGACAAAAAUAAAAAAGCAAAGCCCUCAAAGUGCAGGUUAGAAUGCUUGUCUUGGAGAAAAUUAGAAAACAUUCGCUAUAACAGCUCUUAACAGCACCUGCACAGAUAAGAUGGCAAGGCCCUUGGGAACAGGACGUGCAGUCAAAACGUUACAUUAACAUGAGAGACGUGCUGAGCUUAACUAGGUUAACUACUGGACUGGAACUUCAAAAGUCAGCAAAGGGAAUG